ACUCAUGAAAAUCUGAGCAUUACAAGAAAGUUGAGGCAUAUAACUGAUGACACGGGGAGGAUAGGUAGUCUCUCCAUGGAAAAAAUAGAGCAACAAUAAUCAUGAGUUGCAAACUGUAAACUUUCUAAUCUAUGCACCAAUGCACAUUUCUAACUCUAAUUGAUACACAUUUCUAACUCUAAUUGAUAAAUCUUAUUAUGCUCAGGGGCGGACCCACAUUAGGCUGAGGGGGUUCAGAUGAACCCCCUGAAAAAAGAGAAAACUCCACAUGCCCCCCUGUAUUAUUAUUUUUUUGAACCCCCUGAAAAUUUCAAUUUGCACCAAAGACCCUUUCUCUCUCACUAACACACACACUUCUUACUCGGGCCCUCAAUCCCUCAUCCUCUUGCUCUCGCUAGGUCAAGCGCACACACACACCAGCCACCACCACAGCACCACGCCGCUCAGCCACCAGUGCACCACCGGCCACCACCACAGCACCACCAGUGGGUUACCAGUCCAGUGAGUCCACCACGCACCCUUGAUUUUUGCGCUACAGUAGCAUUUCAGCCCAGCCGUGAAUUGGGGUUUGUUUCUUUUCCUCUGGUAGCAAGGAUCCUGGCUCGUUAAUACUCUCCUGCUGUAGCUACAAGUGUCUGCUUUUGCUCCUUGCCCGCAACUGCUAUGUUCCUUUUCUUUUUCUUUUUUUUUUGAGUUUGUAGUAGUUGUAGUUGUCUGUAGUAGUUUUUUUCUCUUUUCUCUACUGUUCUGUGUUUGCUUUUCUAUGCAAGGGGCCUCUUGAAAUUUACUGGCCUUUUGCUUUGAUUGUAUCUUUCUCUUUUGUUGAAAUAAACUCAGCUUUCUAAAAAAAAACUAGUGAAUUAGAAGUUUCAUCAA
Molecule: long non-coding RNA, 876 nt
Organism: Lotus japonicus
Lineage: Eukaryota; Viridiplantae; Streptophyta; Magnoliopsida; Fabales; Fabaceae
Exons: 2
Source: RefSeq, a predicted model, not a curated record